Molecule: long non-coding RNA, 2306 nt
Filed under: Malus domestica (apple)
Lineage: Eukaryota; Viridiplantae; Streptophyta; Magnoliopsida; Rosales; Rosaceae
Description: long non-coding RNA (MDOM_LNC015032)
Source: RNAcentral
CGUUUCGAACCUAGGUAUCUUCCUCUCCCUGUCAUUUUGUCCUUUACUUUGAUUGCACACUGCAUCAAGUUAAAGCUCCCACCAACUGGAGAAAGAUACCAUGCUACAUCUUAUUUGUGUGCCAAUUGUGGAGCUCUCUUGGGGUUUCUGUAAGCGUUGGUCAUCUGGAAGGGACAGAAAAAUCUAGGCAACUAGGGUCUCUCUCACAUUCCACUUUCUCUAUAAAAAAAAAUCCCAAAAUUGGCUCUCCAGGACUGGAAGUGGAAGUAUGAGGUAUCCUUUUCUUUUUCCGGUAUUUUUUUUUAAAUUUCUUUAUUUCAUGCAUGGUGGAUUUCUCUUUGGUGAUUAUUGAAUUGCUUAUAUAUUUUCUUGGUAUUUAGGGUGAUCUAAUUUUUCUGGCUUUUCAAGAGCAGCGGCAUGAGGUACACUUUUCUUCUUUUUCUUUUUUUUUUUCUCUUUUUUUUUUCUUCUAAUUUUUAUGUAAUGGAUGCAGGUGGAUUCUCUGAGUAUACCUGGGAUAGUGAGAAAUUGGAGCUCAUCUGGGGCCAGAUCCAUUUGGAUUUUGGUGUCUGAUUGGAGGAAAAGAAAAUAAAAUAAAUUUGGGGUUUGUAUUGAUUUGAUGUUUGGUUUUAUUUAAUUUUUAUUCUUGCAUGUUUGCUUUUUCUGAAUUUUCACUGUUUGUUUUGUUAGUUGAAGAUUACGGUGUUUGAUUGAUUUCAAUGGGGUGAGUUGUUAAUUUGUCCUCUAUUUAUUCAUGUCAUUUUAUGAAUGCUUGCAUAAUCUGCAUCUCAUUUCACUAACUCUCUGGGUGUAUUUUUGAUAAAUUGUCACUGUUUUUUUCUGUUAAUUUUUAAGUCUCUGUGUGUGUUGUUUACCCCAGACUUUGGACAUCAACUUGUUCUGUUUUCUUGGUGGUUUGAUGCGUUUUGUGUUGUGUUUUUCGGUCAAUUGACUCAGUUCAUAUGAUUAAUUCCCAUCGUUUCCAUGCCAUAUUGGUUGAAUUUAUUUUAACUAUAUUUAUUUUUGUUGCAGCCAUAUCUCAUAUAAACAACAAGUAGAAGGUUUACAGGACAUUAACCAAUUAGUUGGGCUAUUAGUUCCUUUACUUUGUGAUGUCCCUGGUGUGAGUAAACAAAUGUUCAUGUACUUUAUAGUUAGGAGGAUUUAACGAGGCCUUUUCUAUGUGCUUUACUUUAUUAUGUUUUGAUAAACGGAGGUUCAACAACAGGUUACUGAAAUGAUCACUUAUAUAUAUAGCCUCCACCACAAAGUAAUUUCCUAAGAAAUGUGUAGUACUUUGUCUUCUGGGUUAGUGUUCUCUAAUUUAGAUUAGACAUUAAGGCUUUGAGCUUGGUAAGAUUUCUUUUCUUGAUGUACCUCAAUUUUUUUAUUCAUUGUUUUUCUUUUUGGAGUUUUCGAUUUACAAAUAAAUUCUACAUUUAAAUUCUCUUUUUGUGAUCCUUCAGAUUUUGUCUUUGUAAUCAGAUGGUUGAUAUCGCAAGACUGAUUUCAUUCUUCUUCACUUUCAAGAAGCACCGGUGUUUAUUGAAGGUAUAUAAUCUGUUUAGACAUUUAGUCUUCAAUGUAUCAAGUAUUUUGUGUUGUUAGUUUUAUGUUACUUUUGUUGCUGCCUGCCUUUUUUUUUCUUUCUAUUUUUUUCGUUUUUAUCCACUUCUCUUUCACAUUUGUGCAACCUAUUGUCCUCAGUUUAUAAUCUUUCGUUGGAUAAUCUGAUCGCCCAAUCUAUUCUCAAGCGAUAUCUUUGGUUUUAAACUGUUCUAACCAGUUUAAUCUUUAAAUUGUUCAAUGUUAACCCCAACAUUUUAUUUUCAUUCUAUACGCAUUGGAACCAAACUUAAUUGGCACUAAAAAUGUAUAAAGCCUUUAACUAUACCAUGAAUGCAAUGUUAGCCAGUAAAUAAUUAUAAAAGUAACUUUGUCAUGGGCUAUAAUCAUAUCCAUCAUCAUUCCAUGAUUGUUACCAACCUUUAAAAUCAAAUUUAGCAUCAGUAUGUUUUACCUCUGUUUCAAUCUUAACCAGUAGCGGCUACAAUUUUGUAUUAAUCACUGUUAUCAAUUGUUCUUAACAUAUGAUCAUCAGAUCCCAAUAUGUUGACCAUCGUUCUCCCUACCUUAUCGUAUGUGAAACGAUUAUAUUUACACUCACUUUUAUUCAUUGGAAACAGUAUUUGUGUCUCUCCAUAUCCAAUCCUUGGUGCAAAAUGUUUACAAUUUGACCUGUUUCAGUUUCCUACAGCCAAAUUGGAAUCAAUCUGAAAGAACUGCGCCUAUUCGCCGUCUUCAAG